GCCAGUGCGGCACACUGGUUUGAGCAUUGGACUAGAACUCUGGAGACCAGGGUUCAAUUCCCAGUCUGGCC
This is a non-coding RNA of Phrynosoma platyrhinos (Desert horned lizard), 71 nucleotides long. The record is from the annotation of a GenBank genome assembly. NCBI's taxonomy places the organism in Eukaryota, Metazoa, Chordata, Lepidosauria, Squamata, Phrynosomatidae.